CCUUGGACCAUUCCCUGACGUUCCAGACGCGAAAGCUAGGGUAGCGAACGGGAUUAGAGACCCCGGUAGUCCUAGCUGUAAACGAUGUGAACUUGGCGUCGGUGGGGUUAAAUCCCAUCGGUGUCGAAGCUAACGCGAUAAGUUCCACCGCCUGAGGACUACGGCCGCAAGGUUAAAACUCAAAGGAAUUGACGGGGACCCGCACAAGCAGCGGAGCGUGUGGUUUAAUUCGUUGCUACACGAAGAACCUUACCUGGGUUUGACAUAUAGGUUGUAGGGAACUGAAAAGGGACCGACCCUUCGGGGAGCCUAUACAGGUGUUGCAUGGCUGUCGUCAGCUCGUGUCGUGAGAUGUUCGGUUAAGUCCGCUAACGAGCGCAACCCUCCGCCGCAUGUUAUAUGUGUCAUACGGGACUGCCGGUAAAAAGCCGGAGGAAGGUGAGGAUGAUGUCAAGUCAGCAUGACCUUUAUAUCCAGGGCUAC
Molecule: ribosomal RNA, 483 nt
Filed under: uncultured bacterium
Lineage: Bacteria
Description: bacterial SSU rRNA
Rfam family: Bacterial small subunit ribosomal RNA
Source: RNAcentral